GAUGACGCUAGCGGGAGGCCUAACACAUGCAAGCCGAGCGGUAGAUUAUCUUCGGAUAAUUGAGAGCGGCGUACGGGUGAGUAUCGCGUAUGUAACUUGCCUUAUAGAAUGGGAUAGCCCGGAGAAAUUCGGAUUAAUACCGUAUAUAAAAUUAGAUGGCAUCAUUUAGUUUAGAAAGAUUUAUCGCUAUAAGAUAGACAUGCGUAAGAUUAGAUAGUUGGUGAGGUAACGGCUCACCAAGUCGAUGAUCUUUAGGGGUCCUGAGAGGGAGAUCCCCCACACUGGGACUGAGACACGGCCCAGACUCCUACGGGAGGCAGCAGNGAGGAAUAUUGNACAAUGGGNUAUCGCCUGAUCCAGCCAUCCCGCGUGCNNGAUGACGNCCUUAUGGGUNGNNAACNGCUUCCA
This 408-nucleotide ribosomal RNA is filed under the name Weeksella virosa. Its description in RNAcentral is "partial 16S ribosomal RNA". It matches the Rfam family "Bacterial small subunit ribosomal RNA", at positions 32 to 438 of the family's 1533-position model. The record is from RNAcentral. Lineage: Bacteria; Pseudomonadati; Bacteroidota; Flavobacteriia; Flavobacteriales; Weeksellaceae.